This 497-nucleotide ribosomal RNA is filed under the name uncultured bacterium. RNAcentral describes it as "partial 16S ribosomal RNA". It matches the Rfam family "Bacterial small subunit ribosomal RNA", at positions 28 to 507 of the family's 1533-position model. The record is from RNAcentral.
GAUGAACGCUGGCGGCGUGCCUAAUACAUGCAAGUCGAGCGAACAGACGAGGAGCUUGCUCCUCUGACGUUAGCGGCGGACGGGUGAGUAACACGUGGAUAACCUACCUAUAAGACUGGGAUAACUUCGGGAAACCGGAGCUAAUACCGGAUAAUAUAUUGAACCGCAUGGUUCAAUAGUGAAAGACGGUUUUGCUGUCACUUAUAGAUGGAUCCGCGCCGCAUUAGCUAGUUGGUAAGGUAACGGCUUACCAAGGCAACGAUGCGUAGCCGACCUGAGAGGGUGAACCGGCCACCCGGAAACGAGAAAACGUCCCAGCAUCCACGGGGAGACGCCAGAGGGAAACUUUCCGCAUGGGAGAAAGCCUUAAGGGGCAAAGACGGCGGAAUGAAGAAGGUCCUAGGGACGUUAAACCAUGUUAAUAAGGAAGAAACAAAGUGUAAGUAAACAUUGACGGUUUGACGGUACCUAAUCAGAAAGCCACGGCUAACUACGUG